RNAcentral lists this non-coding RNA (25 nucleotides) under Drosophila erecta. The record is from RNAcentral. RNAcentral also lists the same sequence under 8 other names. Lineage: Eukaryota; Metazoa; Arthropoda; Insecta; Diptera; Drosophilidae.
AAGUCGUAACAAGGUUUCCGUAGGU